RNAcentral lists this ribosomal RNA (992 nucleotides) under uncultured bacterium. Its description in RNAcentral is "bacterial SSU rRNA". It matches the Rfam family "Bacterial small subunit ribosomal RNA", at positions 28 to 1001 of the family's 1533-position model. The record is from RNAcentral.
GACGAACGCUGGCGGCGUGCCUAAUACAUGCAAGUCGAGCGGAUGACGAGGAGCUUGCUCCUCUGAUCCAGCGGCGGACGGGUGAGUAACACGUGGGCAACCUGCCUGUAAGACUGGGAUAACUCCGGGAAACCGGGGCUAAUACCGGAUAGGUGAUGUCUUCGCAUGAAGAGAUCAGGAAAGAUGGCUUCGGCUAUCACUUACAGAUGGGCCCGCGGCGCAUUAGCUAGUUGGUGAGGUAACGGCUCACCAAGGCGACGAUGCGUAGCCGACCUGAGAGGGUGAUCGGCCACACUGGGACUGAGACACGGCCCAGACCCCUACGGGAGGCAGCAGUAGGGAAUCUUCCGCAAUGGACGAAAGUCUGACGGAGCAACGCCGCGUGAGCGAAGAAGGUCUUCGGAUCGUAAAGCUCUGUUGUUAGGGAAGAACAAGUACCGUUCGAAUAGGGCGGUACCGUGACGGUACCUAACCAGAAAGCCACGGCUAACUACGUGCCAGCAGCCGCGGUAAUACGUAGGUGGCAAGCGUUGUCCGGAAUUAUUGGGCGUAAAGCGCGCGCAGGCGGCUUCUUAAGUCUGAUGUGAAAGCCCGCAGCUCAACUGCGGAGGGUCAUUGGAAACUGGGAAGCUUGAGUGCAGAAGAGGAGAGUGGAAUUCCACGUGUAGCGGUGAAAUGCGUAGAGAUGUGGAGGAACACCAGUGGCGAAGGCGGCUCUCUGGUCUGUAACUGACGCUGAGGCGCGAAAGCGUGGGGAGCAAACAGGAUUAGAUACCCUGGUAGUCCACGCCGUAAACGAUGAGUGCUAAGUGUUAGAGGGUUUCCGCCCUUUAGUGCUGCAGCUAGCGCAUUAAGCACUCCGCCUGGGGAGUACGGCCGCAAGGCUGAAACUCAAAGGAAUUGACGGGGGCCCGCACAAGCGGUGGAGCAUGUGGUUUAAUUCGAAGCAACGCGAAGAACCUUACCAGGUCUUGACAUCCUCUGCUACUUCU